Molecule: ribosomal RNA, 441 nt
Filed under: uncultured bacterium
Lineage: Bacteria
Description: bacterial SSU rRNA
Rfam family: Bacterial small subunit ribosomal RNA
Source: RNAcentral
AACGCGAAGAACCUUACCUGGGCUCGAAAUGUAGUGGAUCGAGGUAGAAAUAUCUCUUUCUCGCAAGAGACUGCUAUAUAGGUGCUGCAUGGCUGUCGUCAGCUCGUGUCGUGAGAUGUUGGGUUAAGUCCCGCAACGAGCGCAACCCUUAUCUUUAGUUGCCAUCAGGUCAAGCUGGGCACUCUAACGAAACCGCCCCGGAUAACGGGGAGGAAGGUGGGGAUGACGUCAAGUCAUCAUGCCCCUUAUGUCCUGGGCUACACACGUGUUACAAUGGCUGGGACAAUGUGAUGCAAAACGGCGACGUCGAGCGAAUCACCAAACCCAGUCUCAGUUCGGAUCGUAGGCUGCAACUCGCCUGCGUGAAGUCGGAAUCGCUAGUAAACGCCAAUCAGCACGUGGCGUUGAAUACGUUCCCGGGCCUUGUACACACCGUGUCGA